AUACGAACGAUGCAAAUAAAUUUUAUUUGUUUGAGUUAAAUUGGUAAAGUGAAAAUUAAAUUAAAUUUGUUAGGUGAAAUUUUAAAUUUAUAUAGAUUUUUAUUUGAUUGAUUGAAGCUUGGAAAUUUUAAAGUUAAACUAGGAUUAGAUACCCUAUUAUUUAAAAUGUAUAUUAUUAAGCUUAGGUAGUAGUAGAUAUGUUCUUGAAACUUAAAAAAUUUGGCGGUAUUUUAGUCUAUUCAGAGGAACCUGUCCUAUAAUCGAUAAUCCACGUUGGACCUUACUUAAGUUUGUUAAUCAGUUUAUAUACCGUCGUUAUAAGAAAAUUUUAUUAGAAUGAUUAUUUUCUGGGUUUUGAAUUAAAAAAUAUAUCAGAUCAAGGUGUAGCUUAUAUUUAAGUAGAGAUGGGUUACAAUAAGUUUAUUUAAACGGAUUUAUGAUUUGAAAGUUUUUGUUGAAGGUGGAUUUGGUAGUAAAUUUAUAUAGAUAAAUAGAUUGACUUUAGCUCUAAAAUAUGCACACAUCGCCCGUCGCUCUUAUUAUUAAGAUAAGAUAAGUCGUAACAUAGUAGAUGUACUGGAAAGUGUAUCUAGAAUG
This 597-nucleotide ribosomal RNA is filed under the name Gasterophilus nigricornis. Its description in RNAcentral is "12S ribosomal RNA". Lineage: Eukaryota; Metazoa; Arthropoda; Insecta; Diptera; Oestridae. The record is from RNAcentral.